CAUUCAUCGUAAGAAGUUGUGUGGCGGACGGGUGAGCUAACACGGUGGGUAACCUGCCUAAAAGAAGGGGAUAACACUUGGAAACAGGUGCUAAUACCGUAUAUCUCUAAGGAUCGCAUGAUCCUUAGAUGAAAGAUGGUUCUGCUAUCGCUUUUAGAUGGACCCGCGGCGUAUUAACUAGUUGGUGGGGUAACGGCCUACCAAGGUGAUGAUACGUAGCCGAACUGAGAGGUUGAUCGGCCACAUUGGGACUGAGACACGGCCCAAACUCCUACGGGAGGCAGCAGUAGGGAAUCUUCCACAAUGGACGCAAGUCUGAUGGAGCAACGCCGCGUGAGUGAAGAAGGUCUUCGGAUCGUAAAACUCUGUUGUUAGAGAAGAACACGAGUGAGAGUAACUGUUCAUUCGAUGACGGUAUCUAACCAGCAAGUCACGGCUAACUACGUGCCAGCAGCCGCGGUAAUACGUAGGUGGCAAGCGUUGUCCGGAUUUAUUGGGCGUAAAGGGAACGCAGGCGGUCUUUUAAGUCUGAUGUGAAAGCCUUCGGCUUAACCGGAGUAGUGCAUUGGAAACUGGAAGACUUGAGUGCAGAAGAGGAGAGUGGAACUCCAUGUGUAGCGGUGAAAUGCGUAGAUAUAUGGAAGAACACCAGUGGCGAAAGCGGCUCUCUGGUCUGUAACUGACGCUGAGGUUCGAAAGCGUGGGUAGCAAACAGGAUUAGAUACCCUGGUAGUCCACGCCGUUAAAACGAUGAAUGCUAGGUGUUGGAGGG
RNAcentral lists this ribosomal RNA (772 nucleotides) under uncultured bacterium. RNAcentral's name for it is "bacterial SSU rRNA". It matches the Rfam family "Bacterial small subunit ribosomal RNA", at positions 71 to 830 of the family's 1533-position model. The record is from RNAcentral.